RNAcentral lists this ribosomal RNA (446 nucleotides) under uncultured bacterium. Its description in RNAcentral is "partial 16S ribosomal RNA". It matches the Rfam family "Bacterial small subunit ribosomal RNA", at positions 338 to 795 of the family's 1533-position model. The record is from RNAcentral.
CCUACGGGUGGCAGCAGUCGAGAAUCAUUCACAAUGGGGGAAACCCUGAUGGUGCGACGCCGCGUGGGGGAAUGAAGGUCUUCGGAUUGUAAACCCCUGUCAUGUGGGAGCAAAUUAAAAAGAUAGUACCACAAGAGGAAGAGACGGCUAACUCUGUGCCACCAGCCGCGGUAAUACAGAGGUCUCAAGCGUUGUUCGGAAUCACUGGGCGUAAGGGGUGGGUAGGCUGUUUCGUAAGUCGUGUGUGAAAGGCGCGGGCUCAACCCGCGGACGGCACAUGAUACUGCGAGACUAGAGUAAUGGAGGGGGAACCGGAAUUCUCGGUGUAGCAGUGAAAUGCGUAGAUAUCGAGAGGAACACUCGUGGCGAAGGCGGGUUCCUGGACAUUAACUGACGCUGAGGCACGAAGGCCAGGGGAGCGAAAGGGAUUAGAUACCCUAGUAGUC